RNAcentral lists this ribosomal RNA (505 nucleotides) under uncultured bacterium. RNAcentral's name for it is "partial 16S ribosomal RNA". It matches the Rfam family "Bacterial small subunit ribosomal RNA", at positions 28 to 507 of the family's 1533-position model. The record is from RNAcentral.
GACGAACGCUGGCGGCGUGCCUAAUACAUGCAAGUAGGACGCACAGUUUAUACCGUAGCUUGCUACACCAUAGACUGUGAGUUGCGAACGGGUGAGUAACGCGUAGGUAACCUGCCUGGUAGCGGGGGAUAACUAUUGGAAACGAUAGCUAAUACCGCAUAAUAUUAAUUAUUGCAUGAUAAUUAAUUGAAAGGUGCAAUUGCACCACUACCAGAUGGACCUGCGUUGUAUUAGCUAGUAGGUGAGGUAACGGCUCACCUAGGCGACGAUACAUAGCCGACCUGAGAGGGUGAUCGGCCACACUGGGACUGAGACACGGCCCAGACUCCUACGGGAGGCAGCAGUAGGGAAUCUUCGGCAAUGGACGAAAGUCUGACCGAGCAACGCCGCGUGAGUGAAGAAGGGUUUCGGAUCGUAAAGCUCUGUUGUAAGAGAAGAACGGGUGUGAGAGUGGAAAGUUCACACUGUGACGGUAUCUUACCAGAAAGGGACGGCUAACUACGUG